GGAAAACUUCCGAGGGGACAAAAGAGGAGGAAGGCGCGACCCGCGGUUUCCCAGCUAGAAUGCUGGAGAAAGAAAAGGAACGACAAAGACGGAACGGACGGCACCCGCGCUGCCCUGGCGACGCUUCUCAGGUCGCGCGGCUGCGCGCGCCUAAACUCAGCAGCCCCGACCCAGGAUGCAGGAGCGAUCCGCUCGCAGUGCCGCGCGGCCCCGUCCUGCAGCCGGUGCAGGGAGAGCAGCGGCUGCACCGGCUGCAAAAGCCGGCAGUGCCGACUCUGAUAGCUCCCCUUCGCUACAACGUCCACGGCGGGUGGACGGCGGCGAGCAGCCAGCCCUUCCAAUCCGGCCGCAACUUUGCGUUUCUGAGCUCGGUGCCAAAAACCGGCGAGCAGCAGAGCGACAACCCCGAGAGCUGGGGAAUCCAUCUUCAGCCCCGCGAGGGGAAGCCAGCAGCCGCCCGCCUGUCUCCUCAGGUCUCGCUACCCGAGAGCCUCUCAGCCUCUGUGCGCUCCCUUUUUCUCCGCUCAUUUACUCCAUGCAGCAUCCAGACACUCCGGGUGCAGGGGAAACCGAGAGACCCCGCUCGGCGGCCCUGGCGGAGGGAGCCGUUCCGAACAGCGGCGGCAGCGCCCGAGCCGAGCCCUCAGCCCGGCUGCCGCCGCGGCAAUGCACCUCGCGAGCUGCGGCUAGAAGCGGCACCGGGCGCUGGGCACCUCCUUAUAGGCGAGAGCUGCACUCCACCUCCUCCCAACCCCCUGGAAGUCACUCCUCCUCGCCUUCCAGGGAGGAUCCUUAUUGCAAUCUUCACGCGUUGUUGAUAAGCAUCAGAGUCACGGAGUAAAUCAGAUGCCUGGAGGGAAAGAAAAAAAACAUUUUUUUCUCCUCCCUCCCGCCCGGGUAUCGCCGUGGCUGGAACAUUAUUAAAGCGCCCUCAGCUCGGUUGUUUGUUUGCUUACAAAAAAAUAUAUUCAUAUAUCUUAUUGCAUGUAGUGUCAAUACAUCCUCACAGGUACCGGUGCUCAGCAUCACCCCCAGAGCAUCACUGGAUCGUUAAAGUUGGAAAAGGCUUCUAAGACCAUCUAGUUCAACUGGAGCCCCCGACAGGGCUGAUGGGUGCUCCCAGAGCUGGGGACCGAACCAGAGCCACGUGCAAAGUACCGCAGCCUCCCACCCAGCUGGAUUUUGUGGUUGAUGGAUUGACUGAUUAGCCGAGUGCACAGGCUGUAGUUAUCCCCCAGAGGGGUGAGAAGUUGGAGGAUAAAGGAAAGCGGAGUUUAAAACCAUCUUGCUUUCCCCUGUGGUUUGUGUGCAGGCAGCCAGAGCAUGCUUGGAGCAGGACCUUGUGCUGUUUGUAGUCAUCUCCCUGCAUGCUUGCAAACACAGGAUGUAAACAUCCCUUCAGGAACUCCGCUUUAAUCACUGCUGAGAUCUAACCUUGUUGCUUUGCUGCAGCAUCACCUCACAUCAAUAGGUUGCUGCAUCAAAGUCAGGUCAAAACUGCAUUAGUAAUUCCCCUGAUGUGUGUAAGGAGAGUGUAUUUGGGCCAUUAAAGUCCUUGUUGGGUAAAGCUGCUGGUCCACAGCCACAGUCUCCUAUUGAGGAAUAAUUAGAAGUUCAUCUGAGCUGCUGUCUCACCAGUGGAGAGCAGAGAUUUGAAUUGCUGAAAUGCUAUCAGCCUCAUAGUAAUGUAAGGAGGAUGGAGGAAAUUUGUUGUGUUUGAAUGCCCUGGAGAUGUAUGAGGCCAGGUUGGAUGGGGCCCUGGGCAGCCUGAUCUGGUGGGUGGCAGCCACCCCAAAGAAGUGGGCUGGAAAGGUCCCUUCCAUUCUAAGCCAUUCUGUGAUUCCAUGAUUAGGUGCUACACUGAAGAGCGGGAGUCAGGGGAGAGCUCCAAAGCAAGGCUCUUGGCUCUGAAGGAGCAGUCAGCUUGGGAAGCAAAAGC
Molecule: long non-coding RNA, 1939 nt
Filed under: Pavo cristatus (Indian peafowl)
Lineage: Eukaryota; Metazoa; Chordata; Aves; Galliformes; Phasianidae
Description: lncRNA (ENSPSTG00000010399.1)
Source: RNAcentral